UGCAGUCGAACGAACCCUUCGGGGUUAGUGGCGCACGGGUGCGUAACGCGUGGGAACCUGCCUUUAGGUUCGGAAUAACAGUUAGAAAUGACUGCUAAUACCGGAUAAUGUCUUCGGACCAAAGAUUUAUCGCCUUUAGAUGGGCCCGCGUUAGAUUAGGUAGUUGGUGGGGUAAUGGCCUACCAAGCCGACGAUCUAUAGCUGGUCUGAGAGGAUGAUCAGCCACACUGGGACUGAGACACGGCCCAGACUCCUACGGGAGGCAGCAGUGGGGAAUAUUGGACAAUGGGCGAAAGCCUGAUCCAGCAAUGCCGCGUGAGUGAUGAAGGCCUUAGGGUUGUAAAGCUCUUUUACCAGGGAUGAUAAUGACAGUACCUGGAGAAUAAGCUCCGGCUAACUCCGUGCCAGCAGCCGCGGUAAUACGGAGGGAGCUAGCGUUGUUCGGAAUUACUGGGCGUAAAGCGCGCGUAGGCGGCUAUUCAAGUCAGGGGUGAAAUCCCGGGGCUCAACCCCGGAACUGCCCUUGAAACUGGAUGGCUAGAAUCCUGGAGAGGCGAGUGGAAUUCCGAGUGUAGAGGUGAAAUUCGUAGAUAUUCGGAAGAACACCAGUGGCGAAGGCGACUCGCUGGACAGGUAUUGACGCUGAGGUGCGAAAAGCGUGGGGGAGCAAACAGGAUUAGAUACCCUGGUAGUCCUACGCCCGUAAACGAUGAUAACUAGCUGUCCGGGCACAUGGUGCUUGGGUGGCGCAGCUAACGCAUUAAGUUAUCCGCCUGGGGAGUACGGUCGCAAGAUUAAAACUCAAA
RNAcentral lists this ribosomal RNA (806 nucleotides) under uncultured bacterium. RNAcentral describes it as "bacterial SSU rRNA". It matches the Rfam family "Bacterial small subunit ribosomal RNA", at positions 56 to 905 of the family's 1533-position model. The record is from RNAcentral.